GAUGAAGAACGUAGCGAAAUGCGAUAAGUAAUGUGAAUUGCAGAAUUCAGUGAAUCAUCGAAUCUUUGAACGCACAUUGCGCCCGCCAGUAUUCUGGCGGGCAUGCCUGUCUGAGCGUCAUUUCAACCCUCAUGCCCCUAGGGCGUGGUGUUGGGGAUCGGCCAAAGCCCGCGAGGGACGGCCGGCCCCUAAAUCUAGUGGCGGACCCGUCGUGGCCUCCUCUGCGAAGUAGUGAUAUUCCGCAUCGGAGAGCGACGAGCCCCUGCCGUUAAACCCCCAACUUUCCAAGGUUGACCUCAGAUCAGGUAGGAAUACCCGCUGAACUUAAGCAUAUCAAUAAGCAGAGGA
RNAcentral lists this unclassified non-coding RNA (348 nucleotides) under soil metagenome. RNAcentral's name for it is "partial contains 5.8S ribosomal RNA, internal transcribed spacer 2, and large subunit ribosomal RNA". The stretch from base 1 to 120 matches the Rfam family "5.8S ribosomal RNA", at positions 35 to 154 of the family's 154-position model. The record is from RNAcentral.